GGUUCAAAUUGCCACCUGUAAAUUAUAAAUGGAGGUCAUAAACCCUCCCUUUCAUCUCUCGUCUCUCUCACCUUAGGGUUUUACAGAAAUGGCGACUCGUUAUCUGACUCGUUCCUUAUUCACUGCUCUCUCUCGCCCAUACACUUCUCUUUCUCUCUCUACACCUCCUCCCUCUAUCUUUUCUUUCUCUCUCCUCCGUCUUCGACCACUUAUCGCCGUCGCCGCUGUCAACCUCCGCAGCGUCUCUCCGGCGGUAGCAACCUCCUUUCGAGGGUUUGCGACUCGGCAAACGUCGUCGUCGUUAAAUGACCCGAACCCGAACUGGUCCAAUCGUCCCCCGAAGGAGACGAUCCUACUUGAUGGAUGUGAUUUUGAGCACUGGCUUGUUGUGAUGGAGAAACCUGAGGGCGAUCCUACCAGAGAUGAAAUCAUCGAUAGCUACAUCAAAACUCUGGCUAAAGUUGUUGGAAGCGAGGAAGAAGCAAGAAUGAAGAUAUACUCUGUCUCGACAAGGCAUUACUAUGCAUUUGGAGCUCUUGUAUCCGAAGAACUUUCUUACAAGCUAAAAGAAGUGCCGAAGGUUAGCUGGGUGCUUCCUGAUUCCUACCUGGAUGUUAAGAAUAAAGAUUAUGGAGGGGAGCCUUUUAUCAAUGGGCAGGCUGUACCAUACGACCCAAAGUACCAUGAGGAGUGGGUAAGAAACAAUGCCCGAGCUAAUGAGAAGAACAGGCGCAAUGACCGACCUCGUAACUUUGAUAGGUCCAGAAAUUUUGAGAGAAGAAGAGAGAUGCAGAACACUGGACCCAACAUGGGUGGUGGACCUCCCAACAUGACGAAUGCGCCACCCCCAAACAUGGGUGGGAUGCAGCAGCCUAACAUGGGCGGGAGGCAUCAGCCUAGCAUGGGAGGACCACAGCAGCCCAACAUGGGAGGUGCACCUCAUAACUAUGGUGGAGCGCCUCCCAAUAACUAUGGUGGGUCGCCUCCCAAUAACUACGGUGGAGCACCUCCCAAUUACUAUGGUGGAGCGCCAAACAAUCCAACCAAUUUUCAAUACAAUGGUGGACCAACCAACGGAGGCAUGCCUUACCAAACAAGUCCAGGGCCAAAUCAGAAUUAUGCUUCAAAUACAUCUGGUGGAAACCCUUAUCAGAAUCAAAGCAUGCCUGGAAGAGAUGUGCCCCCUCCAAAUCAGAACUAUGCUCCGAAUACGGCUGACAGAACCCCUUAUCAGAACCAAAACAUGCCUGGAAGAGAUAUGCCCCCUCAAAAUUAUCAAUAGGCCAUUGUAUAUGAGUAUGAACUUUGUAUUUCCAGAAUUCUAUUUCACGAAAUGAGAACAUAUUUAUGGCGUGCUUGAUAGGAUGUUGCUGCCCGACUGCCCGUAAUAGUUGAAUGUGCAAAACUUAUAUGCUUUGGCCUCAUUGCAGGUACCAUUCGCAUUUUUGGAAGACUUGCCCACUAUUAUGGCUACAGAUGUUUUCAAAAUGACAAUGCAGAUCUAUUUUGCUAGAAAGCCUUGUGUACUCAUGCUUAUCCUUGUAUCCAUUUAAGCCUGAACAGAUUAUGCAUGAUAUUCAACUACUUCGAGCAUAAUAUACAACAGUGCUAGAAAUGCAGAGAUCGUAUACCUUGAAGGCAAUUCAUUGGUGUGUCGUGUGGAUGUCAAACUGCAUCCAAGGGAUUCUGUCUUUCAAGUUUUGCCCAGUGUUGUCAAAUGUCCCAUAUAUGCUCCCAUUUUUGUGAUGCUUGCCACUUCUUUUUUGUGUAUUGAAUUUAGAAACCUGUUCUAUUGCGUGCAAAAAGAUACUCGGCUAACAGUUUGUAGUAGCUGUUAUCUUUCUCCUA
Non-coding RNA from Nicotiana tabacum (common tobacco), 1848 nucleotides. Lineage: Eukaryota; Viridiplantae; Streptophyta; Magnoliopsida; Solanales; Solanaceae. The record is from RefSeq and is a predicted model, not a curated record.